UAGAUUAUGCCCAUGGCCUACUUCAAUUACCUUUGUAACAGUAUAAUAAACUUUGAAUUGGAUUGGUUAAUAAGUAAUAAUUUAAGCAUGACUAAUGAAAUCCAAAACAAUGUCUACAAAGUAACGAGCAUUCUUACCAUAAUUAAACAUUUAGAUAUAGUAACAACAUUCAUAAGAAGAAUAACUUUAUUUACCAACCAUACAUCAAUUUAAGGAGAAUAAGCUGACAAGAGAAAGAAUAGAAGUGGGCCUUAAAUAAUCUUUCAAUUGACGAAAAUUUCCAGCAAAUUACAACGGACAGAAUAACGCAGCUACGAGCAAAAUUUGAAACGGCGGUCGAACUCGAACGGAAUCACGGACCACACCUCGAACGUACUUCGAACGGCAACCUCACUUUAACUCGUUUGGGAAUUAUGUGAUGAUGUUGUGCACUAGAGGGAUCCAUUAAUGCAUAAUUGUCUCUCUCUAAACAGCUUAAUAACAAUUUUAGAGCUUGAAACUGACCAAUCCUCCAAACUGGUUUAAUUUUGGGUGUUUCGGUAAGACAAAAGAUAGGAUUAAACUAAGAACUAUUGAAUAGAAGCAGAAGACAAAUUUGAAUUGUAAAAGAAAGGAAAUCCCCCCAUCCCCCCUUCUUUCGCUACUGCUUUCCAAUUCCCUUUCUCCUUCCUUUGUUCCCUUAAUCUCCCCUCCAUUCCUUUUUCUUUCACUCUUUGCUUUCUUUUAUUUUGUGCAGGUUGCGGGUGUUAGGAGUCUUUGGGGGGAGGGGGGGGUGCCGCUGGCUAGGGAGUGUAGGGAUUAGGUUUUUAUUUGUGAAAGAAUUGGCUUUUAUGUGGUAGGGUAAAUGAGUAUGGGCCAUUGGAUUAGAUUAAAUGAAAGGCUAUGAUUAAGGGAGGGGUUUUAUGGGUGAGAAAAGGGUUUGGACUAAAAGGAAUUGGGAAGAAUGGCCAUUUGUCUUGCUGGGCCACUAAAAUCCAAAAAUAAGCUCCCAAUUGGUCCAAAUUCAAUUCUCUCAUUGAAUAAAAAUAAAAAUAAAAAUACUACCAAAAUAUAAUAAUUAAUCUUAGUUAAUAAGAAUAAAUUAUUAAAGUUAUAUAUAUAAAAAUAAAAAUAUUUUUAUUAUUUUUUUAAAUGUUAUAAAUAUUAUAAAAUACUAAUAAGCUAAAAAACCGUUAUAAACUAUUUUUGUGUUUUUUUUAAAACUUAUGUUUUACAAUUUAAAACUAAAAGUUGACUAAAAUCCUAUUAAAAAUAAAAAUAAGUAAAUAUUUUUAAAAGUUGCGCGGGUCAAAAAUUACAUGCUUAUAGCUGCCCCUCUCUGCUUGGAAACAUGCAGAGUUUUCGGAGCAAAGAACAAUAAGCAACGUAAUUGAUUUAUGACCCGAUGCUUAUUCAACACGAAACAAAGAUUGAUAAAAGAUUGUGACCGAGCCCUGGUAUCUGAGCUGCCUACAUAUCCUUGGUUAUAAAGGAAUUAGGCCACGUGUAGUUCAGAACUGAAUGGAGUGAUGUAGUGUGUGGAGAGGAUGAGAGAGUCGAGUGAGGUACCGUUCCGUCGAGGUUCCAGUCCGCGGUCUUGUUAUUACAUCAAAAUCAAAAACGGAAAAGACUAACUAAGUCUGUCAGCUAUGAGUUACAAGAUUCCUAUCUAUAAGUCUUCUGAAGCUUGAUCUUGAAUCUUGAAUGGUUCUUCAUGCAGACUUUUGAUUUGAACCCUGAUGCUUGCUAGCUGCAGGUGCAGAUUCAUCUUCUUUGGCUUCUUCGGAUCAAGACCGGACAUGCAGUGCUCGUGACUUCAGCCAUGUCUUGAGCAGUUCACAUCUUUCAUCGGCUUCUGUAUUUUGGAUUCACUUCUCUUUUUUUUUCUUUUCUUUUAUUCUAGAUUGAAACUUCUUCCUUUGGUCAUCUCGGACUGUCGACUCGCAUUCUUGAGGCGAGCUUCUGCUACUUCUAACUUGAAUUGAAUUCUGAAAUGACUUCCCUUGUUCUUCAGGUGGGUGUCUGCAACUGACUUGAAACUUGAAAUGAAUUCCCUCAUUCUCCAGGUGGGCGCCUGCUACUACAGCAAAACGGAAACAACAAAAGAAACCUUUUCUGCCCCAGUUUACACUAGGAAGAUUUGUGAGUUAUUAGCAGAACUAUAAAUCACCUAUGCUAUUGAUGAAGGAUGCAAUGAUGAGAGUAAAAUUAAAGACUCGACUAGGAUGUGCGUCUCCUGUGAGUAAAACCAAGAAAAUUUAGACUAGCAAAUGCGUCUGCUAACAAAAAACCUGAAUGACCCAAACUAGGAAGUGCAUCUCCUAGAUGUGAAACUUGAAUGAACCAAAUUAGGAAGUGCGUCUCCUAGGGGCGAAAUCUUAAUUUAGGAAGUGCGUCUCCUAAAAGUAUAUCCUGAAAGACCCAGAUUAGGAAGUGUGUCUCCUAGGGGUGAAACCUUUAACCUAAAAUUAGGAAGUGCGUCUCCUAAAGAAAUAAAAAUCUGAAAAAACCAAACUAGGAAGUGUGUCUUCUAGAUUUGAGAUUGAGCUUGAGGAAAACUAUAAACUAAGCUUGACUAAACUAAAAACUGGCCCUAUUCUCCAGGCGGGACCCCUAAUUUCAAGAAAACUAAAGAUUGAUAACUUAAGAAAACUAAAAAUUGACCUUCUUUUUUAAAAAAAAAUAAAAUCCAGACUUCCCUUUUUUUUUAAAAUUAUUAUCCUAGGAGAAAAUUCAUCAGACUAGGUCCUUUUUUUUGUUAUCUUAGGAGAAAGAGUCAUCAGACUAAGAUUUCUAUCUUAGGAGAAAGUUCAUCAGACUAAGAUUUCUAUCUUAGGAGAAAGUUCAUCAGACUGGGUCUUCUAUCUUAGGAGAAAGUUCAUCAGACUGGGUCUUCUAUCUUAGGAGAAAGAUUCAUCAGACUAAGUUUUCUUAUCUUAGGAGAAAGAUUCAUUAGACUAAGAUUUUGAUCCUAGGAGAAAAUUCAUCAGACUAGGUCUUUUUUUUUGUUAUCUUAGGAAAAAGAUUCAUCAGACUAAGAUUUCUAUCCUAGGAGAAAAUUUAUCAGUUUUAAAAGUGGUGAUCGGUUUGUGGCCUUGAGUCUUGGGCAGCUUGGCUUUUGCUCAAUCAGCUUGAGUCAGUUUCGAGAGACAUUUUACUCUACAUCAACCCUGAUUGUUUCAUACCCAGUACCAUUUGUAUUUGUGGCUCAGUCAGCCUUAUCUCAAAAAAGAGAUUUCUUUUCUUGGAUAACCUUUUCUGAUAUCUUGAAUGGCUUUGCUUUUGGAGCAAUUUGUCUGUCAGAGAGAAUCACAACUGGUAAGAGCCUUUUGCACGAUGUGCACACUUCAUAGUCAUUGUUCGGUACUACAGAGAAUUUCUGAUUAACCUUGAGGUUAUCUUUGCUUGCUUUACCCGAAUAGGCUGACAAGAGUCUUUUGGGGGGGAAGCCUUUGCAUGAAUCCUCAAUGCAUGUUGACUGUAAAAACUGAGUGUGCUGGCCAAAUUUACUUUGUGCAACUGAAAAGCUGGUAGCAGAUUUUGAAAUCAUUUCUUUCUUGUUUUGACAAGGACUGACUCAGAGUGAAGGACACAGUUAUGUAAAGAAAUAAGUAUUAACAAGAAAUGCCCCUAUCAGAAGGACAAAAGGUAAGAGUUUUUUUUUCUUUUUCUUUUUUUUUUUAUUUUAAUUUUACGGUAACUAGCCUUAAUGAUCAUGACAUGCAUUUUGGACUUAAUGGCCGAUCUACCAAACUAAUCCAAUCUUUCCUUUUACCAUUCUUAUGACCUUUGAAGUCGGGCUUGCUCGUGCCAAUCCUUUGCAUCAACUUCAUGACUCACUUUCGACUAGUGGUGCCCCGAGGGGUUUUCACCAACAAGUCUCUCUCAUUUAUUCAUCUCUGCUUACCGUCGUCUUACAGUGCCCGUGAGGGUUUUUACUAGUAAGACUCUUUUUUUUGUGAGCAACUUGAUAGUGUUCUAUGUCGUGUGACAACUGCUGCUCUUUGCAUGCGUCUCUUGGCAUUCUUGAAGGCAUAUCGGGAGGUCUUUAUUUGGAAGGUUUUUGGAUAGGGUUGGAAAGAAGGGUCGGCGUGGAGGCUCUAAGUAGACUCAAUAUGAUGGGUUGUACACUUUACAACUCUUGGAAUUGACUCUUUCAAAAGUGAAAUAAAAUGUUUGCCCCAGUUUCUGAUACUGGGGAUUUUUACCUUUUUUUUUGAAUUCUUAUUUGGUUGGACCGAACCGUGUAAGGCUGCCUACGUAUCCUUUUUUUAAAGGAAUCAGGUCUAAUAACUAAAUUUUUCAUCUUUUUUUUGUCUCUUUUUUUUCUUUUCUUUUUUUUUCAAAACAAGCUGCCCCGACUUUUAUUUUCUGGGGGCAUGGGCCUUUGACUGUUUUUUUUUUCUUUUUUUUUUACUUGAACUUUCUAAGAGUUGCCCCAAUUUGUACUAUUGGGGCAUGGACUUUUAUUUUGUUUUUGUUUUUUGACUUUUGACUCUAAAUUUGAUUCCAAAAGAGGGUGGUCAAAGGAAAUAAUACAGGCUCAAAAAGGGUAACAAAUGGUAUAAAGUAUUUGGGUAGCAGAAAAAGGGCCUCCCGGCCUCGAGAAUGCCAAUCAUAUUAGUCCUUCACAAUUACAAUAUUGAUGAACAUGUCUGUCUUCUUGGGUCUUUUUCAGUGUAAAGCUGUAUGAGCAAUACUUUCCUCACAAUGAAUAACCCCUAUAAGUUUGGAUGACUUUUUAUUGGGUUUUCUCUUGAUGUAGAAGAUUCAUUUUGCCACUAAACUGAUCCAUUUCAAGUUGUCUGAAAUACACCUUCUUUUGAAAACACUUUGUCUUUUAGUGCUACACAGACUUCAACCCGUCCGAUCAUCCUUAAGCCUGAUCUCCUCAAUGAUUCAAAAGGUAGAGAUCCUUAACUAUUAUGAGCAUAACUGAUUUUGUUCCAUGUAAACUUGGUUCAUGCUUAUUUUCCAAAUGUUUCAUGUCUCUAUUCAUCUUCAAAAGUGUCUCUAUCUCACGUUUAUCCAAUUCAAGACUAAAUUAGUUUUAUAAGGUCUGGCCAAAAUUUUCGCAUGCAUGUCAUGUCACUAGAACUAGCGCAAAAAGAAUUGUGCAAAAAAAUGGACACCAAAUGACUAACUACUUUUUAUUGAAUAAAGGAUAGCAGGGUUCAAUCACAAAAAGAAGAAGAAAAGACGACAAAAUAAGCUAUCAUGGCCAAAAGAGGAGUGACUUUCCAGUUACUAAGUGGCAUCUUAGCCACAUUCGCACAUCAGCAUUACUACGGCAUUUAACCAUGUUGAUUGUUUUGGAUUCAACACUCAAAUUUUGACAAUCACCCCACGCAGGCCAUGUCCUAUUGCUCAAAUCUGGUAAAGUCAACCCCACAUUUGCCUCCAUUUUCGAUUUUUCACCGCCAAAUUGGCUACUCGCCUUUUCGUGACCUUAGAUCAACAACAAUGGUGCUUGUUCCAUUGGUUGAGAAGAUGCUUUUAUUUCCGAGAGAUCUUGGAUUGUUUUUGUGACUUGCCAUCGCAAAACAACAAACCGACCACCUUUGACUAGCUUUUAUUUCAAAACAACAAGCAUGUUAGAAUAAACGCUCUUUUUUUCCUUUUUCUCUUUUUUUUCUUUUUAUUUUUUUUAAAAUCAUUCGAUCGAACCUGAUGUGGGUUGCCUACGUAUCAUGUUGGAACAUGAAUCAGAUAUUGUGUAGUUCGAAAAAAUCAGGAAUAAAGGAAAUAAAUUAACUCUUUUUUUGAAUUUUGGAUGUUUUUUUUGUUGGGAAUUUUUGAAAAGAAAGAUUUCUAAAGAAGAAAGAAAAUAUUUUUCUUUGAAUUUUGAUUUUUUUUUUCGUAGAAAGACUUCUAAAGAAGAAAAAAAAAAUAUUUAUGGAUUUUGUUUUGAUUUUCUUUUUCGAAUGAAAGACUUCUAAAAAGAAAGAAAAUAUUUUUGGUUUUAAAUUUUUUUAUUUGGAAUUUUCUAAGGAAAGACUUCUAAGGAAGAAAUUAAAAGAAAAUAUUUUUGGAUUUUUUGAAAAUUGGUGGCCGGAACCGAUGAAGUUUGCCUACGUAUCUCACAUCCGAUAAGAAUCAGACCCGCGUAGUUCGUCCAGUUUUUCAGGAUCGGAGAAAAUGUCAUUUUUGAAAAUUUGGACUCAUUUGCGACAACCUUUUAAAAAUUCGGCAGAGUUUCAAGAUCUUUUUUCUUCUUUUUUUUUCAAAUACCGGUAUUUUCAGGAACCGAGUCAAUUUUCUCUCUCCAAUUUUUCUUGAUUUUCUUUUCCUAUUCUAGAAUCCAAUCAACAUGCAAGUCAAACAAACAAAUACACAAGUAGCGCGUAAGAUGUAUCAGGAUGGUCUUUUAAUUUGGGGUACACCUGUCCUAGAAGGACCCAACCCCUGUGUUGAAUCCCCAAAGUCAAAUGCACGUGAUGCAAACAAGCGUAUCUACUAGGGAUCUGGUAUGAGGUUAUGUUAUUCUAGGUUUUAAACCUGGGUGUAUUGUUCUAGACCUGGCUUACCCGAGCGAAUAACUCGAGCGAGGGGGCAACAUACCGGGAACCAAAAGGCCAUCCGACUUUGUAACUGAUCCGAUCCUCGUUCUAAAAUUAUUGAUAUGACACUCUAACAGAAAAGAAGCCACGCCAGCGUGCGCUUCCCAGAAGAUUUAGAAGACUCAGAGAGAAGAAGGGUGUCGUAACAGUUUAUAUACAGUUCACAGAAUAUCAAAGCGGUAAAUGAGCGGCAAUUAGCACAUUAGGCCCAAAUACGUAAUAUCAGACAAUCACAAGAAAGCCAAGCAUAACAGUUAUUCUAAGCUCGAAUUCUGAACCCUAAACCAGAAGUUCUGGGUUCUUUUUCCCCAGCAGAGUCGCCAAAGCUGUCACACCUCCUUUUUCCCGAUGGGGAUAGGGAAAUAGGGAGUUUUUUUUAAUUAAAGUGACAUAAUUCGAAAUAAGAUUAUUUAUUUAUUAAAAGUCUCCACUUGAAAUAAUUUAUGGUGUCCCAAGUCACCGGUUUAUUUUUGUAAUCCCAAAUCGAGAAAAUUGGCUCUAUUUUUUAUGGUCUGCGAACAGAAAAGAUCGGGUAAGAAAUUCUGUUAAUCCGGGAGAAGGUGUGGGGCACUUCCGAGUUCCGUGCUUUUAGUACGGUCGCUCAACUAUUAAUAAUUGGCCUAAUUAUCUGAUUUAAUACAUAUUUAAAUCUUAUUGUGCAUUUUUAAGUUCUAACCGCUUUUAAUUAUUUAUGAAAUUUGUUUGAACAAGUCGCAAUGUCGCAACUCGUUUGUUUUGUACACAUUGCAAACCAUGUCAUGUGAAACGCACCCGCGAUCUACAACAUGUUAAUUUUAUUAUUAUUUGAAGUUAUGAUCAAGUCACGUGAAACGCACACUCGAAUUGGGGAUUACGUAUCAUGACUAUGCCACGAGAAUCGUACCCAUAGUCACGAUGAUUUUAUUACGUGCUUAAAGCAAACUACGAGGUUUAAAAUAUAUGUUGUCUAGAUUUGAGACGAAUGUGAGGCCAAGAGUUAUGGAUAUGAUGUUGUUGGAAAGAAAUGUGAUUUUAAACAUUGAGAUCACUUUUUUGGAAGAACUUGAAUGUCCAAAGAAUAAAGAAUGCCUCACAAUUGACAAUUAACUAAUACAGACAUAGAUUUUACAAGAUGAGAUAGUCGGCUAGAAUUUAAACACAAAAGGCAUACAUGUAAAACAUGCGGAUUAAAUUAAUGUCACUCACAACUCAGUCUGGACGGCGAGAAAUUUGAAGCUUAAUUCAUGAUAAUCCAAGGAUAAACUCAUGGCCCAUUUUUAAUCAAGCUCUAACCAAUCCAAGUAAACUUAUCCAAACCCCACAACCCAGUAGCGCUAAAAUCUCACAAAUCUUUAAUUUCUAACAAGCAAUACAUGGCUCCGAUAUCUUCAUAACUAGAUUAUGCCCAUGGCCUACUUCAAUUACCUUUGUAACAGUAUAAUAACCUUUAAAGUGGAUUGGUUAAUAAGUACUAAUUUAAGCAUGACUAAUGAAAUCCAAAACAAUAUUUACAGAGUAACGUGCAUUCUUACCAUAAUUAAACAUUUAGAUACAGUAACAACAUUCAUAAGAAGAAUAACUUUAUUUAACAACCAUACAUCAAUUUAAGGAGAAUAAGCUAACAAGAGAAAGAAUAGAAGUGGACCUUAAAUAAUCUUUCAAUUGACGAAAAUGUCCAGCAAAUUACAAUGGACAGAAUAACGCAGCUACGAGCAAAAUUUGAAACGGCGGUCGAACUCGAACGGAAUCACGGACCACACCUCGAACGUACUUCGAAUGACAACCUCACUUUAACUCGUUUGGGAAUUUGGUGAUGAUGUUGUGAACUAGAGGGAUCCAUUAAUGCAUAAUAAUCUCUCUUUGAACAUCUUAAUAACAAUUUUAGAGCUUGAAACUGACCAAUCCUCCAAACUGGUUUAAUUUUGGGUGCUUCGGUAAGACAAAUGACAGGAGUAAAUUAAGAAAUGUUGAAUAGAAUCAGAAGACAAAUUUGAAUUUCAAAGGAAAGGAAACCCCCCCCCCCCCUUUUGUUGCUGAUUUCCAAUUCUCUUUCCCCUUCCUUUGUUCCCUUGAUCUCCCCUUCGUUCCUUUUUCUUUCACUCUUUGCCUUCUUUUUUUUGUGUGAAGGUUGUGGCUGUUAGGAGUCUUUGUGGGGGGGGGGGAGGGGUGUAGCUGGCUAUGGAGUGUAGGGAUUAGAUUUUUAUUUGUGAAAGAAUUGG
Molecule: long non-coding RNA, 8737 nt
Filed under: Nicotiana tabacum (common tobacco)
Lineage: Eukaryota; Viridiplantae; Streptophyta; Magnoliopsida; Solanales; Solanaceae
Description: long non-coding RNA (NTAB_LNC008277)
Source: RNAcentral